CAACGGCGAUUCUCAAAGAGCAAAUAUAAAAUGAGGGUAGCGAACGGCGGUAAGUGAAAAAUUAGGGUAGCGAGAAAGCGGCAAUGACGAUUGAGAGAAGAAAGCGUUUGAAGCUGCAAGAACAAAGGAACUAACGUGUGGAUAGUAAUAGCGAAUCUGAAUCAAAAGGGGUUUAAUCAUUCCCAUGAUGUUCUCUUUUCAUAAUAGUUUUCAAUCUGAAUCACGUUCCUCUUCUUGUUGCUCGCGUUUUCUUCUCACUCUCACACACAACCCUUUCAUUUCGCGAUGACCCUUUGAGCCUCGUGAUGAUAACCUGAAGGUUCUAUUUUUCGUAAUUUUGUGUUAUUUGAAUCAGAAAAUUAUUUGAUUAUUAUCUGUUUAUGUUCUAAAACAAAGGGGUUCUUUUUGUUGUUUGAAAUUUGUACAUAUUUUCAUUAUUUUGAUUAGUGUAUACUACCUUGGUCUCAAAUAUAUGCAGAGAAGAAAAAGUUUAACAAAGUUGAUGUAUAUAGUUAAAAAAUUGAUCAGAUGCAUAGCACAUGCACUCCUCAGAUUAGGUGUGUCCAGGUGUCCGACAUGUGUUGUGUUUGACACGACACCAACACUACACUUGUAAUUACAUUAAAUUAUGUAAUUUUCUCAAAUUAUUAAUGGUGUCAUUGGCUGUGUCCGGUGUCCGUGUCCGUAUCCGUGCUUCAUAUGAUACAUCAAACUUGUUUGAUUUUCAAUUGUGAGGUAGCCUAAGUGGGAAUCUUCUUCCCAAUUGUUACUUCAUUGUGACUUGUGAGGUAGCCUCAGAUGUGUAGUCUAAAGUUUUGAGGUUGAUUGUAUCAAUUUUAUUACACCUAAUUUAUUUGCGCAUUUUACGUGUUUGAGUGGUGAAUAGAGAAGUAAGAAAAUCCGAAAAGGUUUUUGGUUUAUUUGGCAUUCCCCAAUUUUUGAAGAGAUUAAGCUUGUGUCUUGGAGUUGGAGUUUAAGUAGGCUGAAGAUUCCUACAUGUAUUUUUUUUCCCGAAUGAAGUUGGGAUCCUGCAGAUUGUUUGAAUAUGGGGUGAUGUGCUUCUGCUGGUAGUUGAGCGAAUGCUGCUCUGCUGUUGUGGUUGAAUUUCUACUUUCUUUGUUUAUGAUUGAAUGGGACACAAAAGUGGAAUUUCUACAUUCAUUGGUAAGGGAAAGGGAGAGCAAGACUGUUUUUCAGUUUCUUUUACAAGUUGAUAUUAUACGGCGUUAUAUUUUCACCUGAUAAACUUUCAGCUCGGGCUGCUUUGGCAAUCAGAGGUAUUAUUUCAAGUCCUCACAGUUUACCUUGUGCUUUUUGUGUUGUUGUGGUGGAAGAUUCGAAGCAUUUAUUUUUCAAUUGUACUCCGGUUAAAAAUGUUUGGAGGAAUGUUUUCGAUUCAUUGGGAUUGGAAAACACUAAUCAUGAUGAUGUGUGGAAGCAUUUUCUUUUUGGAAAUUUAGCUAAAUCCCAUAAGGGUAUGAAAAUUAACAUUUAAUUUGGCUUGCUACAUCAGUGUAUUUGGCAAUUGAGGAACAACAUCGUGUUUAGGGGCGUUUUCGUUGAUUUUUUGUGUAUCUAAUUGGUUGUGGUUCAUUGGAA
Molecule: long non-coding RNA, 1599 nt
Organism: Medicago truncatula (barrel medic)
Lineage: Eukaryota; Viridiplantae; Streptophyta; Magnoliopsida; Fabales; Fabaceae
Exons: 2
Source: RefSeq, a predicted model, not a curated record